CAUAAUCAUUAGUCUUUUAAUUGAAGGCUGGUAUGAAUGGUUGGAUGAAAUAUUAACUGUUUCAUUUAAAAUUUUUAUAGAAUUUUAUUUUUUAGUUAAAAAGCUAAAAUAUUAUUAAAAGACGAGAAGACCCUAUAAAUCUUUAUAUUUUAUUUUUAUUAAUUAUUUAGAUGUUUUUGAUUAUUAUAAAUUAAAAUAUUUUAUUGGGGUGAUAUUAAAAUUUAAUAAACUUUUAAUUUUUAAAAACAUAAAUUCAUGAAUUUUUGAUCCAUUAUUAAUGAUUAAAAAUUUAAGUUACUUUAGGGAUAACAGCGUAAUUUUUUUGGAGAGUUCAUAUCGAUAAAAAAGAUU
Molecule: ribosomal RNA, 351 nt
Filed under: Anthomyza trifurca
Lineage: Eukaryota; Metazoa; Arthropoda; Insecta; Diptera; Anthomyzidae
Description: partial 16S ribosomal RNA
Source: RNAcentral